RNAcentral lists this ribosomal RNA (468 nucleotides) under uncultured bacterium. RNAcentral describes it as "partial 16S ribosomal RNA". It matches the Rfam family "Bacterial small subunit ribosomal RNA", at positions 28 to 507 of the family's 1533-position model. The record is from RNAcentral.
GAUGAACGCUGGCGGCGUGCUUAACACAUGCAAGUCGAACGGUGAAGGCGGAGCUUGCUCUGCUGGAUCAGUGGCGAACGGGUGAGUAACACGUGAGCAAUCUGCCCCUGACUCUGGGAUAAGCGCUGGAAACGGCGUCUAAUACUGGAUACGAGCUGCGAAGGCAUCUUCAGCAGCUGGAAAGAAUUUCGGUCAGGGAUGAGCUCGCGGCCUAUCAGCUUGUUGGUGAGGUAAUGGCUCACCAAGGCGUCGACGGGUAGCCGGCCUGAGAGGGUGACCGGCCACACUGGGACUGAGACGCGGCCCAGACCCCGCGGGGGGGAAGCGGGGGGAAAUAUUGCAAAAGGGGCGAAGGCCUGAUGCAGCAACGCGGCGGGGGGGAGGACGGCUUUGGGUUUGAAAACUUUUUUUAGCGGGAAAAAAGGGAAAGGGGGGGUCCUUGAAAAAAAGGCGCGGGCUAACUAGGUC